RNAcentral lists this ribosomal RNA (1351 nucleotides) under marine metagenome. RNAcentral's name for it is "bacterial SSU rRNA". It matches the Rfam family "Bacterial small subunit ribosomal RNA", at positions 155 to 1451 of the family's 1533-position model. The record is from RNAcentral.
AUAAAGUAAUAAUACCAGAUAAUAAAUAAAGACUAAGUCGUUAUUAGAUAAGCUCAGGUAGGAUUAGGUAGUUGGUGUGGUAAAAGCGCACCAAGCCUAAGAUCCUUAGCUGGUCUGAGAGGAUGAUCAGCCACACUGGGACUGAGAUACGGCCCAGACUCCAUUAGGAGGCAGCAGUGAGGAAUAUUGGACAAUGAGCGAAAGCUUGAUCCAGCAAUACACCGUGAGUGAUGACAGCUUUUAGGUUGUAAAACUCUUUCAUCAAGGAAGAUAAUGACAUUACUUGAAAAAGAAGCCCCGGCAAAUUUCGUGCCAGCAGCCGCGGUAAUACGAAAGGGGCAAGUCUUAUUCGAAAUUAUUGGGCGUAAAGGGUAAGCAGGCGAUUUAUUAAGUUAUUUGUUAAAGGCCUUAGCCCAACUAAGGUAAAGCACUUAAUACUGAUAAAAUAGAAUAAGAUAGAGGAUAGUGGAAUUUCUAAAGGAGGAUUAAGCCCUGUAGAUAUUAGAAGGAACAUCAGUAGCGAAGGCGGCUAUCUGGAUCUUUAUUGACGCUGAGAUACUAAGGCGUAGGUAGCGAAUAGGAUUAGAUACCCUAGUAGUCUGCGCAGUCAACGAUGAGUGUUAAAUCUUGGUAAAUUCUAAUAAGUAGCUAGUAAGAUCGACUAGUAGUAUGUGUUAUUAUACCCAUACUUAUCUUCUGAAAGUAAAACUAUUAUUUAUCAGGGUUACAGCUAACGCUUUAAACACUCCGCCUGGGGAGUACGGCCGCAAGGUUAAAACUUAAAGGAAUUGACGGGGACCCAUACAAGCGGUGGAGCAUGUGGUUUAAUUCGAUACAACGCGCAAAACCUUACCAGCCCUUGACAUAUUGAGAAGUAUAUCUUUAAUAGGAAAUUACUGCUAAAGACUCAAUACAGGUGUUGCAUGGCUGUCGUCAGCUCGUGUCGUAAGAUGUCAGGUUAGGUCCAUAAACGAGCGCAACCCUUAUUCUUAGUUGCUAACAAUUUUUUUAAUCAAUUAAAAAAAGUUGAGUACUCUAAGAAAACUGCCUGUGAUAAGCAGGAGGAAGGUGAGGAUGACGUCAAGUCCGCAUGGCCCUUAUGGGCUGGGCUACACAUGUGCUACAAUGGUAAUCACAAAGGGAAGCAAAGGUGUAAGCCUAAGCAAAUCCUAAAAAAUUAUCUAAGUUCGGAUUGCUCUCUGUAACUCGAGAGUAUGAAGUUGGAAUCGCUAGUAAUCGUGGAUCAGCACGCCACGGUGAACCUGUCUCUGGGUCUUGUACAUACCGCCCGUCAAGCUUUGGAAAUUGUCCCUAUUUGAAAUGGCCUUAUUCGUUUAUUUUCUUAAAAUUU